Molecule: ribosomal RNA, 469 nt
Filed under: uncultured bacterium
Lineage: Bacteria
Description: bacterial SSU rRNA
Rfam family: Bacterial small subunit ribosomal RNA
Source: RNAcentral
ACUCCUACGGGAGGCAGCAGUAAGGAAUAUUGGUCAAUGGAGGGAACUCUGAACCAGCCAUGCCGCGUGCAGGAAGACAGCCCUCUGGGUCGUAAACUGUCUUUUAUUCGGGAAUAAACCUUUCUACGUGUAGGAAGCUGAAUGUACCGAAGGAAUAAGGAUCGGCUAACUCCGUGCCAGCAGCCGCGGUAAUACGGAGGAUCCAAGCGUUAUCCGGAUUUAUUGGGUUUAAAGGGUGCGUAGGCGGCUUAUUAAGUCAGGGGUGAAAGACGGUGGCUCAACCAUCGCAGUGCCCUUGAUACUGAUGAGCUUGAAUACACUAGAGGUAGGCGGAAUGUGACAAGUAGCGGUGAAAUGCAUAGAUAUGUCACAGAACACCGAUUGCGAAGGCAGCUUACUAUGGUGUUAUUGACGCUGAGGCACGAAAGCGUGGGAUCAAACAGGAUUAGAUACCCCUGGUAGCGACUGA